Molecule: small nucleolar RNA, 106 nt
Organism: Humulus lupulus (European hop)
Lineage: Eukaryota; Viridiplantae; Streptophyta; Magnoliopsida; Rosales; Cannabaceae
Source: RefSeq, a predicted model, not a curated record
AUUUGAUGGUGGGGGAAGCUAGCACAUAACCUCUUGAACCGCUCCCAAUACUCAUACAAUGACUCCCAGUCUGUUGGCGAAUGCCAUAGAUUUCAUUCCUUAUACU